This 71-nucleotide transfer RNA is filed under the name Nocardia tengchongensis. Its description in RNAcentral is "tRNA-Gln". It matches the Rfam family "tRNA". From Rfam's summary of the family: Transfer RNA (tRNA) molecules are approximately 80 nucleotides in length. Their secondary structure includes four short double-helical elements and three loops (D, anti-codon, and T loops). Further hydrogen bonds mediate the characteristic L-shaped molecular structure. tRNAs have two regions of fundamental functional importance: the anti-codon, which is responsible for specific mRNA codon recognition, and the 3' end, to which the tRNAs corresponding amino acid is attached (by aminoacyl-tRNA synthetases). tRNAs cope with the degeneracy of the genetic code in two manners: having more than one tRNA (with a specific anti-codon) for a particular amino acid; and 'wobble' base-pairing, i.e. permitting non-standard base-pairing at the 3rd anti-codon position. Lineage: Bacteria; Bacillati; Actinomycetota; Actinomycetes; Mycobacteriales; Nocardiaceae. The record is from RNAcentral.
UGAAGCGUGGUGCAACGGCAGCAUGACGGACUCUGACUCCGCCGAUCCAGGUUCGAAUCCUGGCGCUUCAG